RNAcentral lists this long non-coding RNA (267 nucleotides) under Cervus elaphus hippelaphus. It matches the Rfam family "7SK RNA", at positions 7 to 238 of the family's 331-position model. From Rfam's summary of the family: 7SK was discovered as an abundant small nuclear RNA in the mid-70s but a possible function has only recently been suggested. Two independent studies have found that 7SK RNA binds the CDK9/cyclin T complex (known as elongation factor P-TEFb). The record is from RNAcentral. Lineage: Eukaryota; Metazoa; Chordata; Mammalia; Artiodactyla; Cervidae.
UGGGGCAAACAGCAUGUGAGGCCUCUCAUCACCCAAAGAUCGUCAGGGUUGAUUCAGCUGAUCUGGUUGUCCAGGCAAGUGUCCCCUUCCUCCCUUACUGCUUCAAGCAUGUGUCCCUCCUGAAGUUGUACACUUAGUCAAAGAUGACAAGCUGUCCCAAUACAGGAGUAUCUUGAAGAGAACAUUCCCUGACAAAGGGGAACCAGCCUUUGGUUAAGGGUAUAUGAGGAUUGUGUUCCACUGCUAGAACCUCCGAAAAAGCUCUCA